AUGACAUCAGGUGGAUCACAAUCAUGCAGGGAAACUCAUGUGAUCUUUGUAUUGAGAAAUAUGGGAGAGAAAACAAAAGCAAUAGACCAAAGGAAACUACUCGCGGGUGACCAUGGUGGCCUUCAAGUGGAUGGAGAUGGCCACCGUGAAGAAUUCCCCUCCGACAGAGCUCUGGAAAAGGCCUUCGGUUUGGAUCAUCAUAGAACAGAGAGGUGUGGCAGUGAAAAAAUAGGGUUGAAAAUUCACGGGCGUUUUCGGAUACGCUUGAGAGGUUUUAUCUUCAAGAGGGGGUUGACCGACCAAAGGAGUUGGAGUCCUCAUACUCCUCCAUUACUUGCCCUCCAAGUAAGUAGGGGGUUGGCCGACUUUGGACCAUGGGCUUCCUUGUCCCCAAGCAAGUUGGGGAGGCCCAUGCGAGAUUGGCGGUAUCCUCACAUAGUCAAUGGCGUCGACCAAGCACACAUAGGCAAGCACUCGAAGAUUGUGUUGAAGACAUGUAGUUGCAGUCGGGGUUGA
RNAcentral lists this ribosomal RNA (516 nucleotides) under Triticum aestivum (bread wheat). Its description in RNAcentral is "partial small subunit ribosomal RNA". The record is from RNAcentral. Lineage: Eukaryota; Viridiplantae; Streptophyta; Magnoliopsida; Poales; Poaceae.